GACGAACGCUGGCGGCGUGCUUAACACAUGCAAGUCGAACGGUAAGGCCCUUCGGGGUACACGAGUGGCGAACGGGUGAGUAACACGUGGGUGAUCUGCCCUGCACUUCGGGAUAAGCCUGGGAAACUGGGUCUAAUACCGGAUAGGACUCCUGGCUGCAGGGUUGGGGGUGGAAAGCUUUUGCGGUGUGGGAUGGGCCCGCGGCCUAUCAGCUGGUUGGUGGGGGAAUGGCCUACCAAGGCGACGACGGGUAGCCGGCCUCGAGAGGGUGACCGGUCACACUGGGACUGAGAUACGGCCCAGACUCCUACGGGAGGCAGCAGUGGGGAAUAUUGCACAAUGGGCGCAAGCCUGAUGCAGCGACGCCGCGUGAGGGAUGACGGCCUUCGGGUUGUAAACCUCUUUCAGCUAUGACGAAGCGCAAGUGACGGUAGUAGCAGAAGAAGGACCGGCCAACUACGUGCCAGCCGCCGCGGUAA
Molecule: ribosomal RNA, 479 nt
Filed under: uncultured bacterium
Lineage: Bacteria
Description: partial 16S ribosomal RNA
Rfam family: Bacterial small subunit ribosomal RNA
Source: RNAcentral